Molecule: ribosomal RNA, 255 nt
Filed under: Staphylococcus aureus
Lineage: Bacteria; Bacillati; Bacillota; Bacilli; Caryophanales; Staphylococcaceae
Description: partial 16S ribosomal RNA
Rfam family: Bacterial small subunit ribosomal RNA
Source: RNAcentral
UUGGGCACUCUAAGUUGACUGCCGGUGACAAACCGGAGGAAGGUGGGGAUGACGUCAAAUCAUCAUGCCCCUUAUGAUUUGGGCUACACACGUGCUACAAUGGACAAUACAAAGGGCAGCGAAACCGCGAGGUCAAGCAAAUCCCAUAAAGUUGUUCUCAGUUCGGAUUGUAGUCUGCAACUCGACUACAUGAAGCUGGAAUCGCUAGUAAUCGUAGAUCAGCAUGCUACGGUGAAUACGUUCCCGGGUCUUGUA